This 498-nucleotide ribosomal RNA is filed under the name uncultured bacterium. RNAcentral's name for it is "partial 16S ribosomal RNA". It matches the Rfam family "Bacterial small subunit ribosomal RNA", at positions 28 to 507 of the family's 1533-position model. The record is from RNAcentral.
GACGAACGCUGGCGGCGUGCCUAAUACAUGCAAGUCGAACGAGAGCGACCGGUGCUUGCACUGGUCAAUCUAGUGGCGAACGGGUGAGUAACACGUGGGUAACCUGCCCAUCAGAGGGGGAUAACAUCCGGAAACGGAUGCUAAAACCGCAUAGGUCUUCGAGCCGCAUGGCUUGAAGAGGAAAAGAGGCGCAAGCUUCUGCUGAUGGAUGGACCCGCGGUGCAUUAGCUAGUUGGUGAGGUAACGGCUCACCAAGGCCGUGAUGCAUAGCCGACAUGAGAGGGUGAUCGGCCACAUUGGGACUGAGACACGGCCCAAACUCCUACGGGAGGCAGCAGUAGGGAAUCUUCCGCAAUGGACGCAAGUCUGACGGAGCAACGCCGCGUGAGUGAAGAAGGUGUUCGGAUCGUAAAACUCUGUUGUUAGAGAAGAACAAGUGCUAGAGUAACUGUUAGCGCCUUGACGGUAGCUAACCAGAAAGCCACGGCUAACUACGUG